RNAcentral lists this long non-coding RNA (518 nucleotides) under Monodelphis domestica (gray short-tailed opossum). Its description in RNAcentral is "lncRNA (ENSMODG00000040014.1)". Lineage: Eukaryota; Metazoa; Chordata; Mammalia; Didelphimorphia; Didelphidae. The record is from RNAcentral.
ACACGAUAUAUGCAAAAUUAGUAAAAGGUAGUUGGGCAGCUAAGUGGCACAGUGAAUAGAGUUCUGGAUCUGGAGUUAGGAAAACUCAUCUUGUCCACUGUACACCUUUGGUGCAAAGGCAUUAUCAGCUUCUUCACUUUGAAGGAUCAUUGGGAAGAAAAACAGAACUUGGGAAGAGGUUCCUAACUCAGAAAAUAAAGAUAUCAAGUGUACUGUGGCUGUCUUUGCAAAGAACUGCAAGAUUCCUAACCCUGGAGAAAAAUAAUAGCAGGACUUUGGAUACAAAUUUUUUUCUAACCAAAGAAAAAGUUUCAAGUGUAUAUGAACCUCUGGGAAACUCAAUCUGGGCAGUUUUGAAUAGACAGUUUGUUUCUUUGAUCCAAAAGGAAAGAGAGAGGAGAUAUCUCACUAGAAGUACCACAUACAUAGGAGCACAAGAGCCAAGAGAUACUGAACUCACAAUUCAUGAUAGUCGAGAGAUGGAUACAGGAACUAGAAAGGGAUCAGUUGCAUCCUAG